RNAcentral lists this ribosomal RNA (464 nucleotides) under uncultured bacterium. RNAcentral's name for it is "partial 16S ribosomal RNA". It matches the Rfam family "Bacterial small subunit ribosomal RNA", at positions 28 to 507 of the family's 1533-position model. The record is from RNAcentral.
GACGAACGCUGGCGGCGUGCUUAACACAUGCAAGUCGAACGGAAAGGCCCUGCUUGCAGGGUACUCGAGUGGCGAACGGGUGAGUAACACGUGGGUGAUCUGCCCUGCACUUCGGGAUAAGCCUGGGAAACUGGGUCUAAUACCGGAUAGGAGCCAUUUUUAGUGUGAUGGUUGGAAAGUUUUUUCGGUGUAGGAUGAGCUCGCGGCCUAUCAGCUUGUUGGUGGGGUAAUGGCCUACCAAGGCGGCGACGGGUAGCCGGCCUGAGAGGGUGGACGGCCACAUUGGGACUGAGAUACGGCCCAGACUCCUACGGGAGGCAGCGGUGGGGAAUAUUGCACAAUGGGCGCAAGCCUGAUGCAGCGACGCCGCGUGGGGGAUGACGGCCUUCGGGUUGUAAACUCCUUUCGCUAGGGACGAAGCUUUUGUGACGGUACCUAGAUAAGAAGCACCGGCUAACUACGUG